GGAUGUGAGGGCAACCUGGCUGUGAUCUCUGUCAUGCCUUUGAUUGCCAGGCUUGAUUCUGUCCAUCUGGCUUCCUCUCUCACUGCUCCCUGUGCUUCCCUCAGUUGAAAAAGACAACCUUCCCCAGUAGAGAUGGGUAGAUGUUUCUUCUUCUGAUCCAGGGUAAUGAGAAGCUGCACUCCCUUGCUAGAACCUUCAAAUUCAGAAACAGUUGAUGGUCUCACAGGGUAGGGUAGAGGUUUGGGAUAGCAAAUGCUUCUCAUUUCUCAUG
RNAcentral lists this small nuclear RNA (271 nucleotides) under Sorex araneus (European shrew). RNAcentral's name for it is "7SK RNA (ENSSARG00000019487.1)". It matches the Rfam family "7SK RNA". Rfam says of the family: 7SK was discovered as an abundant small nuclear RNA in the mid-70s but a possible function has only recently been suggested. Two independent studies have found that 7SK RNA binds the CDK9/cyclin T complex (known as elongation factor P-TEFb). P-TEFb activates transcription by phosphorylating the C-terminal domain of RNA polymerase II. Lineage: Eukaryota; Metazoa; Chordata; Mammalia; Eulipotyphla; Soricidae. The record is from RNAcentral.